RNAcentral lists this ribosomal RNA (253 nucleotides) under uncultured bacterium. Its description in RNAcentral is "partial 16S ribosomal RNA". It matches the Rfam family "Bacterial small subunit ribosomal RNA", at positions 524 to 776 of the family's 1533-position model. The record is from RNAcentral.
UACGGAGGGUGCAAGCGUUAUCCGGAAUCACUGGGGUUAAAGGGUGCGUAGGCGGUCAGAUAAGUCAGACGUGAAAUCCCCAGGCUCAACCUGGGAACUGCGUCUGAUACUGGAUGGCUUGAAUCCGGGAGAGGGAUGCAGAAUUCCAGGUGUAGCGGUGAAAUGCGUAGAUAUCUGGAGGAAUACCGGUGGCGAAGGCGGCAUCCUGGACCGGCAUUGACGCUGAGGAGCGAAAGCUAGGGGAGCAAACGGG